This 254-nucleotide ribosomal RNA is filed under the name uncultured bacterium. RNAcentral's name for it is "partial 16S ribosomal RNA". It matches the Rfam family "Bacterial small subunit ribosomal RNA", at positions 524 to 776 of the family's 1533-position model. The record is from RNAcentral.
UACGUAGGGGGCGAGCGUUGUCCGAAGUUACUGGGCGUAAAGCGCGCGUAGGCGGUUUCUUAAGUCUGGGGUGAAAGGUUCAGCGCUCAACGCGAACAGUGCCUUGGAUACUGGGAGACUUGAGUCUGGGAGGGGGCAGUGGAAUUCCUGGUGUAGCGGUGAAAUGCGUAGAUAUCAGGAGGAACACCGGUGGCGAAGGCGGGUCUCUGGGCCGAUACUGACGCUGAGGAGCGAAAGCGUGGGGAGCGAACAGG